Long non-coding RNA from Solenopsis invicta (red fire ant), 720 nucleotides. RefSeq lists it as uncharacterized. The record is from RefSeq and is a predicted model, not a curated record. The transcript has 2 exons. Lineage: Eukaryota; Metazoa; Arthropoda; Insecta; Hymenoptera; Formicidae.
CUGGAAUUAAUAAUGUUUGUACAGUGUAAACGGCAGCGGUAUCGUGUUUCAAACUCUCUAAUAAAAAUACAUUACUCUUGUGCUUCAAUUCAGAAUUUUCUUUAUAAUAGUAAAUAACAGGAUACACAGUACACUGAUAACUGACCACAGGAUUGAGUGCGGUCAUGAUUUCGACUGGGAUGGCGUUAAGGUUCUCGAUCAUGAGAAAUUUUAUCAUAAGCGACUGAUUUCUGAAAUUUUAUGCAUUAAACAACAAUGUAACGGGCUCAAUUUACAAUCUGACACGGAUUUCUUACACCACGCAUAUUUAUCUAUUGUCGACAGUUUAUAGCUUGUUUUGCUAUCUAUUUAUCCUCAUCUGUAUGUUUGUUUAUCUCUCCGGAUAUCUGUUCGUACCGGCAGCACCAGUUCCCUUCUCAUUUCAAGUUUGACCGUUGUACAGACAAGACGUUCUCGAUUUGUCUCAAUUUCAAUUACUUAUUUAUUUACGCCUUUUGACAUGUGGUUAUUUGCGCUGACAAAAUUCUUUUGUACAUGGACAACUACUGACGUUGAGUCCGAAUCAUGUUCCGAUUUUCGAGCCUAACAACUCGUAUAAGCGUUACAUCUUCCGGAUGAGGAAGCCCUUCACCUCAACCUCAGCUGCGCCUUCGAAUUGUUACUGAAGAUGGCUCGAAGAAUGAGCCGAAACGUUUAAUAAUAAAUUAUGUAUAUCUGAAA